This 1478-nucleotide ribosomal RNA is filed under the name uncultured bacterium. RNAcentral's name for it is "bacterial SSU rRNA". It matches the Rfam family "Bacterial small subunit ribosomal RNA". The record is from RNAcentral.
GAUUGAACGCUGGCGGCAGGCCUAACACAUGCAAGUCGAGCGGUAGCACAGAGAGCUUGCUCUCGGGUGACGAGCGACGGACGGGUGAGUAAUGUCUGGGAAACUGCCUGAUGGAGGGGGAUAACUACUGGAAACGGUAGCUAAUACCGCAUAACGUCGCAAGACCAAAGUGGGGGACCUUCGGGCCUCAUGCCAUCAGAUGUGCCCAGAUGGGAUUAGCUAGUAGGUGGGGUAAUGGCUCACCUAGGCGACGAUCCCUAGCUGGUCUGAGAGGAUGACCAGCCACACUGGAACUGAGACACGGUCCAGACUCCUACGGGAGGCAGCAGUGGGGAAUAUUGCACAAUGGGCGCAAGCCUGAUGCAGCCAUGCCGCGUGUGUGAAGAAGGCCUUCGGGUUGUAAAGCACUUUCAGCGGGGAGGAAGGCGAUAAGGUUAAUAACCUUGUCGAUUGACGUUACCCGCAGAAGAAGCACCGGCUAACUCCGUGCCAGCAGCCGCGGUAAUACGGAGGGUGCAAGCGUUAAUCGGAAUUACUGGGCGUAAAGCGCACGCAGGCGGUCUGUCAAGUCGGAUGUGAAAUCCCCGGGCUUAACCUGGGAACUGCAUUCGAAACUGGCAGGCUAGAGUCUUGUAGAGGGGGGUAGAAUUCCAGGUGUAGCGGUGAAAUGCGUAGAGAUCUGGAGGAAUACCGGUGGCGAAGGCGGCCCCCUGGACAAAGACUGACGCUCAGGUGCGAAAGCGUGGGGAGCAAACAGGAUUAGAUACCCUGGUAGUCCACGCCGUAAACGAUGUCGAUUUGGAGGUUGUGCCCUUGAGGCGUGGCUUCCGGAGCUAACGCGUUAAAUCGACCGCCUGGGGAGUACGGCCGCAAGGUUAAAACUCAAAUGAAUUGACGGGGGCCCGCACAAGCGGUGGAGCAUGUGGUUUAAUUCGAUGCAACGCGAAGAACCUUACCUGGUCUUGACAUCCACAGAACUUUCCAGAGAUGGAUUGGUGCCUUCGGGAACUGUGAGACAGGUGCUGCAUGGCUGUCGUCAGCUCGUGUUGUGAAAUGUUGGGUUAAGUCCCGCAACGAGCGCAACCCUUAUCCUUUGUUGCCAGCGGUCCGGCCGGGAACUCAAAGGAGACUGCCAGUGAUAAACUGGAGGAAGGUGGGGAUGACGUCAAGUCAUCAUGGCCCUUACGACCAGGGCUACACACGUGCUACAAUGGCAUAUACAAAGAGAAGCGACCUCGCGAGAGCAAGCGGACCUCAUAAAGUAUGUCGUAGUCCGGAUUGGAGUCUGCAACUCGACUCCAUGAAGUCGGAAUCGCUAGUAAUCGUAGAUCAGAAUGCUACGGUGAAUACGUUCCCGGGCCUUGUACACACCGCCCGUCACACCAUGGGAGUGGGUUGCAAAAGAAGUAGGUAGCUUAACCUNUCGGGAGGGCGCUUACCACUUUGUGAUUCAUGACUGGGGUGAAGUCGUAACAAGG